This 549-nucleotide ribosomal RNA is filed under the name uncultured bacterium. RNAcentral's name for it is "bacterial SSU rRNA". It matches the Rfam family "Bacterial small subunit ribosomal RNA", at positions 567 to 1116 of the family's 1533-position model. The record is from RNAcentral.
GCUCGUAGGCGGUCUGUCGCGUCGGCUGUGAAAACCCGGAGCUCAACUCCGGGCCUGCAGUCGAUACGGGCAAACUGGAGUACUGCAGGGGAGACUGGAAUUCCUGGUGUAGCGGUGAAAUGCGCAGAUAUCAGGAGGAACACCGGUGGCGAAGGCGGGUCUCUGGGCAGUAACUGACGCUGAGGAGCGAAAGCGUGGGGAGCGAACAGGAUUAGAUACCCUGGUAGUCCACGCCGUAAACGUUGGGCGCUAGGUGUGGGGGCCAUUCCACGGUCUCCGUGCUGCAGCUAACGCAUUAAGCGCCCCGCCUGGGGAGUACGGCCGCAAGGCUAAAACUCAAAGGAAUUGACGGGGGCCCGCACAAGCGGCGGAGCAUGUUGCUUAAUUCGAUGCAACGCGAAGAACCUUACCUAGGCUUGACAUGCACGGAAAUCUCGCAGAGAUGCGGGGUCCGUAAGGGCCGUGCACAGGUGGUGCAUGGUUGUCGUCAGCUCGUGUCGUGAGAUGUUGGGUUAAGUCCCGCAACGAGCGCAACCCUCGUUCCAUGUU